AAAACAUUAGGGAACAUCUUAUUUUAUUGCCAAAAAAUUUGCAGUAAAGAAAUGUUACACGCAAUUUCAUUUCUUUUACGGGGCUUGGGACUUCUACUCCUUUACAUUCUCAUAUUGUUGCAAAUUGUUCACCAUGGUACACCGAUCGUAAUCACAUGGUGUUCGCUCAACGUCUUCAUUGCAUUCGCGAUGUAUGCAAUGGAUGAAAACGAAUCACAUCUGACAGAGCAAAAUACUAAUACGGUUGUGCAUCGAUAUUAAUAGUAUACCUCAGCAUCAACGAAAUGGACGAGUUAAAUAAAUCAUUGUGUAUUGUGCACAUGCAGCAUCCUAACCUAAAAUCUCGACGAAAAUAAGGGGAAGAUGCAAUAUGAGCCAAAUGUGAGGAGUUCGAUGAACCUUCGUCGUAUUGACUGAAAAUACCAUAAUAUCAUGGCUGUCAAAAUUUGUGGAAUUGUUCCUUGCAAGCAUCCGUGGUGUUUGUUAAUAAUAUAUUCUAAAAUGAAAUAUUCUAAAUUUUUUCUAAAAUAGAUUAUACGAAAGUUUACCUAUAUAUAUAUACAAAUCUAAA
This is a long non-coding RNA of Contarinia nasturtii (swede midge), 571 nucleotides long. RefSeq lists it as uncharacterized. The transcript has 4 exons. NCBI's taxonomy places the organism in Eukaryota, Metazoa, Arthropoda, Insecta, Diptera, Cecidomyiidae. The record is from RefSeq and is a predicted model, not a curated record.